GGUUGGAGCUAGGGUUAGGGUUAGGGUUAGGGUUGGAGCUAGGGUUAGGGUUAGGGUUAGGGUUGGAGCUAGGGUUAGGGUUAGGGUUAGGGUUGGAGCUAGGGUUAGGGUUAGGGUUAGAGUUGGAGCUAGGGUUAGGGUUGGAGCUAGGGUUAGGGUUGGAGCUAGGGUUAGGGUUAGGGUUAGGGUUAGGGUUGGAGCUAGAGUUAGGGUUGCAGCUAAGGUUAGGGUUAGGGUUAGGGUUGGAGCUAGGGUUAGGGUUAGGGUUGGAGCUAGGGUUAGGGUUAGGGUUGGAGCUAGGGUUAGGGUUAGGGUUAGGGUUAGGGUUGGAGCUAGGGUUAGGGUUAGGGUUAGGGUUGGAGCUAGGGUUAGGGUUAGGGUUAGGGUUGGAGCUAGGGUUACGGUUAGGGUUAGAGUUAGGGUUGGAGCUAGGGUUAGGGUUGGAGCUAGGGUUAGGGUUAGGGUUGGAGCUAGGGUUAGAGCUAGGGUUAGGGUUAGGUUUGGAGCUAGGGUUAGGGUAAGGGUUAGGGUUGGAGCUAGGGUUAGGGUUAGGGUUGGAGCUAGGGUUAGGGUUAGGUUGGAGCUAGGGUUAGGGUUAGGGUUGGAGCUAGGGUUAGGGUUAGGGUUAGGGUUGGAAC
This is a non-coding RNA of Xyrichtys novacula (pearly razorfish), 638 nucleotides long. The record is from the annotation of a GenBank genome assembly. NCBI's taxonomy places the organism in Eukaryota, Metazoa, Chordata, Actinopteri, Labriformes, Labridae.